RNAcentral lists this ribosomal RNA (173 nucleotides) under uncultured bacterium. RNAcentral describes it as "partial 16S ribosomal RNA". It matches the Rfam family "Bacterial small subunit ribosomal RNA", at positions 337 to 505 of the family's 1533-position model. The record is from RNAcentral.
UCCUACCGGUGGUAGCAGUUGGGAAUCUUCCACAAUGGACGAAAGUCUAAUGGAGCACCGCCGCGUGAGCGAUGAAGGUUUUCGGAUGGUAAAGCUCUGUUUCAGGGAAGAACAAGUACCCGUUUCUCCGCCCGCGACUGACGGUACCUCAAGAAAAGCCCCGGCUACCUCCG